This 459-nucleotide ribosomal RNA is filed under the name uncultured bacterium. Its description in RNAcentral is "partial 16S ribosomal RNA". It matches the Rfam family "Bacterial small subunit ribosomal RNA", at positions 338 to 795 of the family's 1533-position model. The record is from RNAcentral.
UCUACGGGAGGCAGCAGUGAGGAAUAUUGGUCAAUGGGCGCAGGCCUGAACCAGCCAAGUCGCGUGAGGGAAGACUGCCCUAUGGGUUGUAAACCUCUUUUAUAAGGGGAGAAUAAUGACUACGUGUAGUCAGAUGCCCGUACCUUAUGAAUAAGCAUCGGCUAACUCCGUUCCAGCAGCCGCGGUAAUACGGAGGAUGCGAGCGUUAUCCGGAUUUAUUGGGUUGAAAGGGUGCGUAGGCGGUAUUUUAAGUUAGGGGGAAAACGGCGGGGCUUCACCUUGAUUGGCCAGUAAAAAUGGAGUAAGAGAGUACAGACGAGGUAGGCGGACUAAGUUAAGUAGCGGUGAAAUGCUUAGAUAUAACUUAGAACCCCGAUAGCGAAGGCAGCUUACCAGACUGUUACUGACGCUGAAGCACGAGAGCGUGGGUAGCGAACAGGAUUAGAUACCCUUGUAGUC